Molecule: long non-coding RNA, 2571 nt
Organism: Equus caballus (horse)
Lineage: Eukaryota; Metazoa; Chordata; Mammalia; Perissodactyla; Equidae
Source: Ensembl
AAGCUCAUACAUUUCUAUAACUAGAAAGUUCUUUUCAAUUUACUACCUCUCUGGGCUAUCAUAUUAACCCGUUAAGGACAGAAUCUUAAAAACUUUGUUUGCACCAAAAUAUUUUAUAAAUCAUUUAUUAUUUGCUUAUUUUCAAAUUGCUUAUAAUCACCUUCUGAAAAAAAUGACACAAACAUCAUUUUCUGUGAAGAAAUUUUCUGGUGUCCAGAUAACAUCUGAAACAUUGAAUAUUUGAUAAAAUUUCCUAGUUUAACGUCCUCCCUCUCAGUAACACCUUUCACUGGAAAUUGUGUAUUUACUCAGUUUAUCCCUACUUGCUUCUCUAACACAAUUAUUAUUCUUUUAGCUUUUCAAAAACCCUGUUUUAAAAUUAUAUUGAUUUAGUGUGUCUGUCUUUAAUAGAGUAGAAAUCCUCAACUGCUUUCCUUUGUAUGUCACCUGUUAAGCGUGAUUGUUAAACUGCAAUAGAACAUCCAGUUAAUUAGAAGAGUCAAGACUCUAUCCUGGCAUCGCCCACCUCCGAAAUUCAGCCACUUCGUGGAUAAAAAGCAACAGCUGUGAGAAAGCAGAGCGCUGCUAACAUUGCACACCUGGGCAAGGCAGGCAAUAAAUGGAAAGACUUUCUCUAUCUCAAUUUGCAGGGGCUUGUGGGGGUGGUGGUUUAAAAGCUGGAAUGUAAUGACCCCACUUGGGAAUCUGAACCAAAAACUCAGGGUUAAAUCCUGCCUUAUGAUACAAGAUGGAUACGGCCAUUAUCAAAGAGAAAGUCUGCUGAGCACCAGGCCAGAGCACAUCCUUGGGGAGGAGAGAGAGGCUGCCUCCUAUAGCAUUACUGCAGGUGCCAGCCACAGAGUAACUCCAUUCUCUUCUGGGUAGACCCAAGCUGGACCUACCAGAAGACUAUUUCACCUGAGGAACCAAAGGCACUCACUCCACAUACGCCUGACGCAGGUCUCCUUUCCCAGACAGUCUUACAAUUGAAGACUCAGUGCAUCCUGGGGAUCAUUAUCCACCCCCCCCCACACACACACACACCUGACCCCCACUACGAGCACACCAUCUGGGUUAAUUUCAAAGUACUGAAUGAGGCUUCCAUAGGGGUAUGGAGAUGGCAGGAAGAAGAGACAACUUAUGUCACUGCACGUUAGUGAAGUUGACAACCAAGACAGUCAGCCGUGGGUGAUUUGAUUAAGCACUGCUUCAGGGGUCUGCCUCUUUGAGUUGCUGAAAACUGGAUCUUAGAAACUGAGUCUCUGAAACAACCCACUACAUACCCAGGGCACUGGCAGACUAUGGGGCUGGCCCGUCCUGAAGAAGGUGGACCACCAUCCACACCUGGGCAAAGCCAACAGCAGCGCAUGCUAUUAGAGCUAAUGAGCAAGAGCAGACACCUGUGAUGUAAAAAUAAAUUAUAAAUAAAGAAAUACCAGCAAACUACCUGUUAGUCUCUACCUGUGAGGACCCAGGCAGGCUAAACGGCACCUUAAUUUCUAGACUCUCUCUUUGAUCACAGAAACAGACUGUGCGAAUAUUUCUAUUCCUUCUUUUCUUAGAGGCUUUCUUUUUUUUGGUCCUUAAUGGAGAUCUUGAACUGCAGAGCCGCCGUGUCAGAACUCAGAUGGUUAACAUUCACUUCUUGCUGUUUUAUUGCAUAUUACUGUGCGCGCCUGAGCAGCGGGAGCAGAUUCGGGCAAUUACAAUCAAGUCAGGGCACACGCCGCGGCGGAGCAACACGGGCAUGAUGAGGAUACUGAUGAGGCACUUAUCGAAAACCCCGCAUCAUCCACACUCAUCAGCCACAACAUGUCACCCCAAAUGAGGCAUCAGCUGCCUUCAAAAGGCUCAUUGCACAGUGUUUACCGCUUCCCUCGGACCCACUUUUGAUUUUACGGUCAGAGCUGGGUUCAAACAGCAGCUGUCUGGCAAAGACAGGUCUGCGGCUUCCAGCAGCUUCCCCCAGAGUCCUGGGGCUUUGUCUGGAGAGCUUUGGGGAGCAGGGCCCGGCAGGGCGAGGGGACGCGGGAAGGCAGAGAAGCGUCCAGUUCCGUUUCUCGCAAAGAGGAAUUUCUUUCCCAGAAGCGGCCCUUGAUUAAUUUCAAGCGCUAGCGCACAGUGGUGACAUAAUGGGGGUGGGGGAGGGGAGCGAAAGAGGGAGCCUUUCACAGAUCUCCUUAAAAUAGUAACAGGGUGGGUGGGACCUCUCACGCAGACACAAGUCUCAGAAGGGUCAAUCCCUUUGGAAAAGACAGCUCCAACCAGGAGAGCCGUUCAAGUGGUAAUUUUUAAUUCUUUCAUCAUCAACUCAUUCUUGGGUUGUUGGGGGGGCAGGGAGGCAUUUAUUAGCAAUUUAGGAGGCCUUUAUUUCAAACACCCUGUUUUUCUGCUAUAAAAGGAAGUGGAUAUAUUCCUAGUAAUACUCCUUAAAACUAUUCUUUGUUGCUUUGGGUUAAUGCAACUUGAAGCUAAACACUUGGGGGGAUCUAUUUGCUUACACUGAAAAUAAAAGAACGUGAAAACCCAUUGCCAUCUAUUUUUCAAUCUAUGUCAUUCCUGGGGGGAAGA